This 487-nucleotide ribosomal RNA is filed under the name Streptococcus infantis. RNAcentral describes it as "bacterial SSU rRNA". It matches the Rfam family "Bacterial small subunit ribosomal RNA", at positions 28 to 500 of the family's 1533-position model. The record is from RNAcentral. Lineage: Bacteria; Bacillati; Bacillota; Bacilli; Lactobacillales; Streptococcaceae.
GACGAACGCUGGCGGCGUGCUAAUACAUGCAAGUAGAACGCUGAAGGAGGAGCUUGCUCUUUCCGGAUGAGUUGCGAACGGGUGAGUAACGCGUAGGUAACCUGCCUGGUAGCGGGGGAUAACUAUUGGAAACGAUAGCUAAUACCGCAUAAGAGUAGAUAUCGCAUGAUAGCUGCUUGAAAGGUGCAAUUGCACCACUACCAGAUGGACCUGCGUUGUAUUAGCUAGUUGGUGAGGUAACGGCUCACCAAGGCAACGAUACAUAGCCGACCUGAGAGGGUGAUCGGCCACACUGGGACUGAGACACGGCCCAGACUCCUACGGGAGGCAGCAGUAGGGAAUCUUCGGCAAUGGACGGAAGUCUGACCGAGCAACGCCGCGUGAGUGAAGAAGGUUUUCGGAUCGUAAAGCUCUGUUGUAAGAGAAGAACGAGUGUGAGAGUGGAAAGUUCACACUGUGACGGUAUCUUACCAGAAAGGACGGCUAA